RNAcentral lists this ribosomal RNA (574 nucleotides) under Knufia petricola. RNAcentral's name for it is "partial large subunit ribosomal RNA". It matches the Rfam family "Eukaryotic large subunit ribosomal RNA", at positions 269 to 860 of the family's 3401-position model. The record is from RNAcentral. Lineage: Eukaryota; Fungi; Ascomycota; Eurotiomycetes; Chaetothyriales; Trichomeriaceae.
CUUGUUUGGGAAUGCAGGUCAAAAUGGGUGGUAAAUUUCAUCUAAAGCUAAAUAUUGGCCAGAGACCGAUAGCGCACAAGUAGAGUGAUCGAAAGAUGAAAAGCACUUUGAAAAGAGAGUUAAACAGUAUGUGAAAUUGUUGAAAGGGAAGCGCUGGCAACCAGACUCGUGCGCGGGGUUCCCCCUUGCUUCUGCUUGGGUCACUUCCCCGUGUCCGGGCCAUCAUCAGUUUCGGGGGCCGGUUAAAGGCCCUGGGAAUGUACCCACGCCUUCGGGGGUGGACUUAUAGCCCAGGGUGUCAUGCGGCCACCCGGGACUGAGGAACGCGCUUCGGCGAGGAUGAUGGCGUAAUGGUUGUCAGCGGCCCGUCUUGAAACACGGACCAAGGAGUCUAACAUCUAUGCGAGUGUUCGGGUGUCAAACCCUUGCGCGGAAUGAAAGUGAACGGAGGUAGGAAGGCUUAAGCCUGCACUAUCGACCGAUCCUGAUGUCUUCGGAUGGAUUUGAGUAAGAGCAUAGCUGUUGGGACCCGAAAGAUGGUGAACUAUGCGUGAAUAGGGUGAAGCCAGAGGAA